UGGGGANUCUUCCGCAAUGGACGAAAGUCUGACGGAGCAACGCCGCGUGAGUGAUGACGGCCUUCGGGUUGUAAAGCUCUGUUAAUCGGGACGAAAGGCCUUCUUGCGAAUAGUUAGAAGGAUUGACGGUACCGGAAUAGAAAGCCACGGCUAACUACGUGCCAGCAGCCGCGGUAAUACGUAGGUGGCAAGCGUUGUCCGGAAUUAUUGGGCGUAAAGCGCGCGCAGGCGGAUUGGUCAGUCUGUCUUAAAAGUUCGGGGCUUAACCCCGUGAUGGGAUGGAAACUGCCAAUCUAGAGUAUCGGAGAGGAAAGUGGAAUUCCUAGUGUAGCGGUGAAAUGCGUAGAUAUUAGGAAGAACACCAGUGGCGAAGGCGACUUUCUGGACGAAAACUGACGCUGAGGCGCGAAAGCCAGGGGAGCGAACGGGAUUAGAUACCCCGGUAGUCCUGGCCGUAAACGAUGGGUACUAGGUGUAGGAGGUAUCGACCCCUUCUGUGCCGGAGUUAACGCAAUAAGUACCCCGCCUGGGGAGUACGACCGCAAGGUUG
Molecule: ribosomal RNA, 550 nt
Filed under: uncultured bacterium
Lineage: Bacteria
Description: bacterial SSU rRNA
Rfam family: Bacterial small subunit ribosomal RNA
Source: RNAcentral